AGAGUUUGAUCCUGGCUCAGGACGAACGCUGGCGGCGUGCCUAAUACAUGCAAGUAGAACGCUGAAGGAGGAGCUUGCUUCUCUGGAUGAGUUGCGAACGGGUGAGUAACGCGUAGGUAACCUGCCUGGUAGCGGGGGAUAACUAUUGGAAACGAUAGCUAAUACCGCAUAAUAGUAGAUGUUGCAUGACAUUUGCUUAAAAGGUGCAAUUGCAUCACUACCAGAUGGACCUGCGUUGUAUUAGCUAGUUGGUGGGGUAACGGCUCACCAAGGCGACGAUACAUAGCCGACCUGAGAGGGUGAUCGGCCACACUGGGACUGAGACACGGCCCAGACUCCUACGGGAGGCAGCAGUAGGGAAUCUUCGGCAAUGGACGGAAGUCUGACCGAGCAACGCCGCGUGAGUGAAGAAGGUUUUCGGAUCGUAAAGCUCUGUUGUAAGAGAAGAACGAGUGUGAGAGUGGAAAGUUCACACUGUGACGGUAUCUUACCAGAAAGGGACGGCUAACUACGUGCCAGCAGCCGCGGUAAUACGUAGGUCCCGAGCGUUGUCCGGAUUUAUUGGGCGUAAAGCGAGCGCAGGCGGUUAGAUAAGUCUGAAGUUAAAGGCUGUGGCUUAACCAUAGUACGCUUUGGAAACUGUUUAACUUGAGUGCAAGAGGGGAGAGUGGAAUUCCAUGUGUAGCGGUGAAAUGCGUAGAUAUAUGGAAGGACUCCGGUGGCGAAAGCGGCUCUCUGGCUUGUAACUGACGCUGAUGAUCAAGCGUGGGGGAGCAAACUGAUAGAUACCUUGUAGUCUACGCGUAACGAUGACUGCUAAGAGUUAAACCUUUACGGGUUUAAUGCCGAGCUAACGACUAAGCACUCCCGCU
RNAcentral lists this ribosomal RNA (872 nucleotides) under uncultured bacterium. Its description in RNAcentral is "bacterial SSU rRNA". It matches the Rfam family "Bacterial small subunit ribosomal RNA", at positions 9 to 873 of the family's 1533-position model. The record is from RNAcentral.